Molecule: ribosomal RNA, 400 nt
Filed under: phytoplankton environmental sample
Lineage: Eukaryota
Description: partial small subunit ribosomal RNA
Rfam family: Eukaryotic small subunit ribosomal RNA
Source: RNAcentral
AGCUCCAAUAGCGUAUAUUAAAGUUGUUGCAGUUAAAAAGCUCGUAGUUGGAUUUCUGACAAGAGAUAUCGGUCCGGGCAUUCGUGUCCGUGUACUUGGUUUUCUCUAGUCAUCCUUAUAGAGAACGUGCGCGGCAUUAAGUUGUUGCGUACGGGACCUAUAUCAUUUACUGUGAAAAAAUUAGAGUGUUCAAAGCAGGCAAUCGCUGUGAAUACAUUAGCAUGGAAUAAUAAGAUAGGACUUUGGUACUAUUUUGUUGGUUUGCAUACCAAAGUAAUGAUUAAGAGGGACAGUUGGGGGUAUUCGUAUUUAAUUGUCAGAGGUGAAAUUCUUGGAUUUAUGAAAGACGAACUACUGCGAAAGCAUUUACCAAGGAUGUUUUCAUUAAUCAAGAACGAAA